Molecule: long non-coding RNA, 1010 nt
Organism: Alexandromys fortis (reed vole)
Lineage: Eukaryota; Metazoa; Chordata; Mammalia; Rodentia; Cricetidae
Exons: 4
Source: RefSeq, a predicted model, not a curated record
UGAGGCAAUAGACAUAGCUUCAUGCUCUUUGUCUAUAGCAAUCCGUGUCGCCCUUUGCAGAGACCACUACUCAGCUAAAGCUGGAUCUGCGACUUUGCCAUUUGAAAGAAUUUUAUAAUGUUCCAGAAUGAAUAAGAGCUGGAGUUUCUCAAAGGGUUUGAAAUGUAGACCUAGGUACGAGGAUUAGUAGAAAGGGGGAAAAGUAGGUUUCUCCCUACAGUGUGGGUAUGAGCUUCUGCAGGGAGGGGCACACGUCAGCGUGUUUACAGUGGCCGUACCUACCAUUUUGAUUCCCACCCAGAAACCAGCUGAUUUGGUGGAGGUGAAAUCAAGAUGGAGCCACGGAGAAGUAUUAAAAGAAAGGAACAAUUGGCACCAAAGUUCUGCAAAAUACAAACGUGUAUUGACUCUGGGGUCUCAACAUAUGCAUGUUUGAGUCCCUGAACGACUCCAAUGGCCAUAGCAUGAAGUCCCCACUUGAGGCUCGCCUCAAGCCCCUUGUCAUUUGAUGCAUCCAAGUCCUUCCUUUGUAGCUCUUCCAUAUGUCUGGGUGACAAGUAGAACAUGGACUUCACAGGCGAGCCUGCUAAAUCCUGGUGAAUUGGUGUAAUGAGAUGUUAACGACAAAGCUGUGAGACACAGGCAACUCAAGUUGAACCAAAAUUCCAACACGCACUGGCUCUGAGACCUUCACCAAGUUUUCCAAGCUUUCUAAGAAGGUGAUAAUAACUGCUUUGCAGAAUUAUCUCAAAGGUAAAAGGAGAUAAGUUACGAAGACUGAUCUAAAAAUAAAUCAAGAUUUGCUCUAGAGUCUCCAUUGGAAUGGCACGAACCUUCUUCCUGCACAUCCAGCAUCUACUAAAGCUCCCACAGUGCAGCUCCCAUAAGCCACACUGACCUUGGAAGGUUCAAAUGCACCUGUUCUCUCAGAUGGACUCUUUCUUACCACCCAUAUCACAUUUUAUCAUUUAUUGAAGGUCAUUAUAUUCUUGUAACCCCAACUGACAAGU